ACGGAAGGCAGCAGUGGGGGAUAUUGCACAAUGGGGGAAACCCUGAUGCAGCGACGCCGCGUGAGUGAAGAAGUAUUUCGGUAUGUAAAGCUCUAUCAGCAGGGAAGAAAAUGACGGUACCUGACUAAGAAGCUCCGGCUAACUACGUGCCAGCAGCCGCGGUAAUACGUAGGUGGCAAGCGUUAUCCGGAUUUAUUGGGUGUAAAGGGUGUGUAGGCGGGACUGCAAGUCAGAAGUGAAAAUUAUGGGCUCAACCCAUAACCUGCUUUUGAAACUGUGGUUCUUGAGAGUGGGAGAGGUAAACGGAAUUCCUGGUGUAGCGGUGAAAUGCGUAGAUAUCAGGAGGAACACCGGUGGCGAAGGCGGUUUACUGGACCAUUACUGACGCUGAGACACGAAAGCGUGGGGAGCAAACAGGAUUAGAUACCCUGGUA
This 434-nucleotide ribosomal RNA is filed under the name uncultured Lachnospiraceae bacterium. RNAcentral's name for it is "partial 16S ribosomal RNA". It matches the Rfam family "Bacterial small subunit ribosomal RNA", at positions 341 to 792 of the family's 1533-position model. Lineage: Bacteria; Bacillati; Bacillota; Clostridia; Lachnospirales; Lachnospiraceae. The record is from RNAcentral.